CAAGGUGGUUGGAUAGCUGCGCCGGGAUUUCUUCCGGUGAGGAAAGUCCGAGCGUCAUGGAAACGGGGCACCGGAUAACGUCCGGCUGGAGAAAUCUAAGGGAAAGUGCCACAGAAAAUUACCGCCAAAAUUAUUUUGGUAAGGUUGAAAAGGCGAGGUAAGAGCUCACCGCAAAGAUAGUAAUAUCCUUUGGCAAGGCAAACCCUGCCCGACGCAAGACCAAAUUAGGAGGGCGGCUUUAAGCCGUUACAUGGGGCGUUUCCACCCUGCUCCAGAGGUAGGUCGCUCGAACCGAAUGGCGACAUUCGGUCCAGAUGAAUAGCUAUCGCUUUGAAUCUUUGCCUUCGGGUAAAGCAAAUGACAAGUACAGAACUCGGCUUACAGACCACCUUUGAUU
Non-coding RNA from Acetobacter sp. CAG:267, 397 nucleotides. Lineage: Bacteria; Pseudomonadati; Pseudomonadota; Alphaproteobacteria; Acetobacterales; Acetobacteraceae. The record is from Rfam.